CCAAUAGCGUAUAUUAAAGUUGUUGCAGUUAAAAAGCUCGUAGUUGAAUUUCGAGACCGGUUUAUUGGUCGUGCUUUUGUACGUACUGGUAUUAUUGGUUUCUCCUUUCUGACGAAUCUUAAUGCCAUUAAUUUGGUGUUUUGGGGAAUCAGGACUGUUACUUUGAAAAAAUUAGAGUGUUUAAAGCAGGCUCACGCUUGAAUACAUUAGCAUGGAAUAACGGAAUAGGACGUUUGAUUCUAUUUUGUUGGUUUCUAGGAUCGACGUAAUGAUUAAGAGGGAUAGUUGGGGGCAUUAGUAUUCAAUUGUCAGAGGUGAAAUUCUUGGAUUUAUUGAAGACUAACUACUGCGAAAGCAUUUGCCAAGGAUGUUUUCAUUAAUCAAGAACGAAAGUUAGGGGAUCGAAGACGAUCAGAUACCGUCGUAGUCUUAACCAUAAACUAUGCCGACUAGGGAUCGGAUGAUGUUAAUUUUUUAAUGACUCAUUCGGCGCCUUACG
This 499-nucleotide ribosomal RNA is filed under the name uncultured Glomeromycotina. Its description in RNAcentral is "partial small subunit ribosomal RNA". It matches the Rfam family "Eukaryotic small subunit ribosomal RNA", at positions 591 to 1092 of the family's 1831-position model. The record is from RNAcentral. Lineage: Eukaryota; Fungi; Glomeromycota.